This 521-nucleotide ribosomal RNA is filed under the name uncultured bacterium. RNAcentral's name for it is "partial 16S ribosomal RNA". It matches the Rfam family "Bacterial small subunit ribosomal RNA", at positions 355 to 864 of the family's 1533-position model. The record is from RNAcentral.
UGGGGAAUAUUGCACAAUGGGCGCAAGCCUGAUGCAGCCAUGCCGCGUGUGUGAAGAAGGCCUUCGGGUUGUAAAGCACUUUCAGCGAGGAGGAAGGUGGUGGACUUAAUACGUUCAUCAAUUGACGUUACUCGCAGAAGAAGCACCGGCUAACUCCGUGCCAGCAGCCGCGGUAAUACGGAGGGUGCAAGCGUUAAUCGGAAUUACUGGGCGUAAAGCGCACGCAGGCGGUUUGUUAAGUCAGAUGUGAAAUCCCCGGGCUCAACCUGGGAACUGCAUUUGAAACUGGCAAGCUAGAGUCUCGUAGAGGGGGGCUAGAAUUCCAGGUGUAGCGGUGAAAUGCGUAGAGAUCUGGAGGAAUACCGGUGGCGAAGGCGGCCCCCCUGGACGAAGACUGACGCUCAGGUGCGAAAGCGUGGGGCAGCAAACAGGAUUAGAUACCCUGGUAGUCCACGCUGUAAACGAUGUCGAUUUGGAGGUUGUGCCCCUUGAGGCGUGGCUUCCGGAGCUAACGCGUUAAA